GUGAAUCAUCGAAUUUUUGAACGCAAAUUGCACUCUCUUCGGAGAGUAUGCCUGUUUGAGGGUCAGCCUAAAAAAAAUCGAAAUAGUCGCUGUUUUCGCGGUGACAUUCGUCGGAAAUUGGGUCAUCUUAAACUUUUGGGUUUUAAGCGGCUUAAAAUUUUCUUUACGGUUUCCACGAGCGUUUCUAUGAUUUACUUUUUACUUACGUUUACGGUUUCGAUCUUUAUUAGACGUGGCCGU
Molecule: unclassified non-coding RNA, 240 nt
Filed under: Glomus sp.
Lineage: Eukaryota; Fungi; Glomeromycota; Glomeromycetes; Glomerales; Glomeraceae
Description: partial contains 5.8S ribosomal RNA and internal transcribed spacer 2
Rfam family: 5.8S ribosomal RNA (bases 1-65)
Source: RNAcentral